UACGUAGGUGACAAGCGUUGUCCGGAUUUACUGGGCGUAAAGAGCGCGCAGGCGGUCGUUCAAGUCGAGUGUGAAAGCCCCCGGCUCAACUGGGGAGGGUCAUUCGAUACUGAUCGACUCGAAGGCAGGAGAGGGAAGUGGAAUUCCCGGUGUAGUGGUGAAAUGCGUAGAUAUCAGGAGUAACACCGGUGGCGAAGGCGGGUCUCUGGGCAACAACUGACGCUGAGGAGCGAAAGCGUGGGGAGCGAACAGG
Molecule: ribosomal RNA, 253 nt
Filed under: uncultured bacterium
Lineage: Bacteria
Description: partial 16S ribosomal RNA
Rfam family: Bacterial small subunit ribosomal RNA
Source: RNAcentral